This 76-nucleotide transfer RNA is filed under the name Heliconius melpomene (postman butterfly). RNAcentral's name for it is "tRNA HMEL008075". It matches the Rfam family "tRNA". Rfam says of the family: Transfer RNA (tRNA) molecules are approximately 80 nucleotides in length. Their secondary structure includes four short double-helical elements and three loops (D, anti-codon, and T loops). The record is from RNAcentral. Lineage: Eukaryota; Metazoa; Arthropoda; Insecta; Lepidoptera; Nymphalidae.
CAGCGUAUAACUUAGUGGUUAGAGCGUUUGAAAAGUUAGUUUCCAAAAGGCGCGGAUUCAAAUCUCGCUUCGUUAA